This 425-nucleotide ribosomal RNA is filed under the name uncultured bacterium. RNAcentral describes it as "partial 16S ribosomal RNA". It matches the Rfam family "Bacterial small subunit ribosomal RNA", at positions 354 to 796 of the family's 1533-position model. The record is from RNAcentral.
GUGGGGAAUCUUGCGCAAUGGGCGAAAGCCUGACGCAGCCAUGCCGCGUGGAUGAUGAAGGUCUUAGGAUUGUAAAAUCCUUUCACCGGUGAAGAUAAUGACUGUAGCCGGAGAAGAAGCCCCGGCUAACUUCGUGCCAGCAGCCGCGGUAAUACGAAGGGGGCUAGCGUUGCUCGGAUUUACUGGGCGGAAAGGGCGCGUAGGCGGACAUUUAAGUCAGGGGUGAAAUCCCGGGGCUCAACCUCGGAACUGCCUUUGAUACUGGGUGUCUUGAGUGUGAGAGAGGUGAGUGGAACUCCGAGUGUAGAGGUGAAAGUCGUAGAUAUUCGGAAGAACACCAGUGGCGAAGGCGACUCACUGGCUCAUUACUGACGCUGAGGCUCGAAAGCGUGGGGAGCAAACAGGAUUAGAUACCCUUGUAGUCC